Long non-coding RNA from Humulus lupulus (European hop), 876 nucleotides. RefSeq lists it as uncharacterized. Lineage: Eukaryota; Viridiplantae; Streptophyta; Magnoliopsida; Rosales; Cannabaceae. The transcript is spliced from 4 exons. The record is from RefSeq and is a predicted model, not a curated record.
AAUACUUUCUACAACACAUUAAUAUAAUUUUAUUUAAAAAGUAUUAUAAUUUAUAAUAUAAAAAAGCAGUAAAGUGAAAAUUGGAAAAACAAAUGGCGGGCCUUAAAAAAUUAUCAGCGGCAAACUAAAAAUGUGUUAUAUUUAUUCUCCAAUUCUCAAUUUUCUCAUUCUUUCUUGUCACUAAAUAACUCUUUGUCUAUAACUCUUCUCUCUCCUUCGCAUCCUUCCUCUCUUCUUCUAUCUCAUUAUUUCUUUCUUUUUUCUUCUUUUUCUUGUAGGUUUCUUAACUGAUUGCUUUCUUUUUUAAUUUUCAAAGUCUCACUACAUUCAGAUUAUGGUUGGAAAAAUUCCUUUAGGGCUUGAUUUGACCUUGCAAAGAAAGGAAAAGAUCUCUAGAGAAGUGGGUUUGAGGUGUUAAUUGCAGCAGCAAGGUUUGGGCUUUUGGACUGUAGUGGAUGGAUUUGUACGUUAGGUCUUGGCUUAAUAAACUAGCACCAUUUUUAUAGAUCUACUCCUAUUUAUAUUUCCUUGCUCUAUCCUUAUUCCAUUUCAGAUGAAGGGGAUGUGAAUGAGUACAACUUGAAACAAACGGGAAGGAGUCCAAUUCGUACAAUACGAAUUUUUUUAAAUGGUCAUUGAAAUUACUCUGAUGCAAAAGUUCCACACCUUGUCUAUGGUAUAAUGAGAUUGAUUUUUUUGAAGCAAAAAUGAGCAAAUUUGUGGAUGAGUUCAUUAGAAUCAAAUAAUCUUUUUUCUUAACUUUGUAGAUUAUAUAGAAUUCUAAUUUUGUAGAAUUUAUUUUGUAAUAUGAUUUUAGAAGCCUAAACUAGACUAAAUAUUGUAAAUCUAUUCAAGCAAUUCAUAAACAUUUCUUUA